UUUCAUUUGCUCUGUCUACUGUAGCUUAUGUUGCUUGAAAACCAUUGAAAACCAAGAAGAUGACUAUUUCCCAUCAGGCUGUUUGUCACAUUUUUCAUUCUAAAAUGAGAAUAGGAGGAAAGGUUUCAGUCCAGCGUUACACUUCCACAGCAGUAGAUAGGUGGUGCCCUUCAGCCCAGGCACACACUUUGGAGUUGAAGAUGCCCAGGAACCGCUCCAUAAUGAACUGUUCUAGAAUCACGGAGACUGACUGCUCCUAUAAUAGGUAAG
RNAcentral lists this long non-coding RNA (270 nucleotides) under Lepisosteus oculatus (spotted gar). RNAcentral describes it as "lncRNA (ENSLOCG00000021140.1)". The record is from RNAcentral. Lineage: Eukaryota; Metazoa; Chordata; Actinopteri; Semionotiformes; Lepisosteidae.